RNAcentral lists this ribosomal RNA (953 nucleotides) under uncultured Prevotella sp. RNAcentral describes it as "bacterial SSU rRNA". It matches the Rfam family "Bacterial small subunit ribosomal RNA", at positions 27 to 971 of the family's 1533-position model. Lineage: Bacteria; Pseudomonadati; Bacteroidota; Bacteroidia; Bacteroidales; Prevotellaceae. The record is from RNAcentral.
GGAUGAACGCUAGCUACAGGCUUAACACAUGCAAGUCGAGGGGAAACGGCAUUGAGUGCUUGCACUCUUUGGACGUCGACCGGCGCACGGGUGAGUAACGCGUAUCCAACCUUCCCAUUACUGUGGGAUAACCUGCCGAAAGGCAGACUAAUACCGCAUAGUCUUCGAUGACGGCAUCAGAUUUGAAGUAAAGAUUUAUCGGUAAUGGAUGGGGAUGCGUCUGAUUAGCUUGUUGGCGGGGUAACGGCCCACCAAGGCGACGAUCAGUAGGGGUUCUGAGAGGAAGGUCCCCCACAUUGGAACUGAGACACGGUCCAAACUCCUACGGGAGGCAGCAGUGAGGAAUAUUGGUCAAUGGACGGAAGUCUGAACCAGCCAAGUAGCGUGCAGGAUGACGGCCCUAUGGGUUGUAAACUGCUUUUGUAUGGGGAUAAAGUUAGGGACGUGUCCCUAUUUGCAGGUACCAUACGAAUAAGGACCGGCUAAUUCCGUGCCAGCAGCCGCGGUAAUACGGAAGGUCCAGGCGUUAUCCGGAUUUAUUGGGUUUAAAGGGAGCGUAGGCUGGAGAUUAAGUGUGUUGUGAAAUGUAGACGCUCAACGUCUGAAUUGCAGCGCAUACUGGUUUCCUUGAGUACGCACAACGUUGGCGGAAUUCGUCGUGUAGCGGUGAAAUGCUUAGAUAUGACGAAGAACUCCGAUUGCGAAGGCAGCUGACGGGAGCGCAACUGACGCUUAAGCUCGAAUGUGCGGGUAUCAGACAGGAUUAGAUACCCUAGUAGUCCGCACAGUAAACGAUGGAUGCCCGCUGUUGGUACCUGGUAUCAGCGGCUAAGCGAAAGCAUUAAGCAUCCCACCUGGGGAGUACGCCGGCAACGGUGAAACUCAAAGGAGUUGACGGGGGCCCGCACAAGCGGAGGACCAUGUGGUUUAAUUCGAUGAUACGCGAGGAACCU